UUGCCAGCCCGCUCAGAAACUACAAGGAAGUUGACGGGGCCCGGCACAAGCGGAGGAGCAUGUGGUUUAAUUCGAUGAUACGCGAGGAACCUUACCUGGGCUCGAACGUAAGAUGACUGUAGGUGAAAGCUUACAUCUCUUCGGAGCAUUUUACGAGGUGCUGCAUGGUUGUCGUCAGCUCGUGCCGUGAGGUGUCGGGUUAAGUCCCAUAACGAGCGCAACCCCUACCUUUAGUUGCCAUCAGGUAAUGCUGGGGACUCUAAAGGAACUGCCUACGCAAGUAGUGAGGAAGGCGGGGAUGACGUCAAAUCAGCACGGCCCUUACGUCCAGGGCUACACACGUGCUACAAUGGCCGAUACAGAGGGCAGCUACCUGGUGACAGGAUGCAAAUCUCCAAAGUCGGUCUCAGUUCGGAUCGGAGUCUGCAACCCGACUCCGUGAAGUUGGAUUCGCUAGUAAUCGCGCAUCAGCCAUGGCGCGGUGAAUACGUUCCCGGGCCUU
This 502-nucleotide ribosomal RNA is filed under the name uncultured Sphingobacteriales bacterium. RNAcentral describes it as "bacterial SSU rRNA". It matches the Rfam family "Bacterial small subunit ribosomal RNA", at positions 903 to 1382 of the family's 1533-position model. Lineage: Bacteria; Pseudomonadati; Bacteroidota; Sphingobacteriia; Sphingobacteriales. The record is from RNAcentral.